This 1840-nucleotide unclassified non-coding RNA is filed under the name Hevea brasiliensis (rubber tree). Lineage: Eukaryota; Viridiplantae; Streptophyta; Magnoliopsida; Malpighiales; Euphorbiaceae. The record is from RNAcentral.
GAACGAUUGUAUUAUUUGCUCAUGAUAAUCAAUCUUGAGCCAAUUCAAUUUUGAUACCACCAAUUCUAACCUGACCCUUGCCAAUCCUAGGCACCAAGGCCACCACCACAUUAUCAUCAUCUUCGGCGCCCAAAUCCUCCAAUAAAUCUGUAAUCCCUAAUCUCAAACAUGUCUUCAUUUUCUUCCCAUGUUUAUGUGCAUGUGGCACAUUCACAAAGCUUCCUGCAAACUCAGACUUGUUUGGUCCACUUGGUGAAUCAUGCUCAUCAUUUACAUACACAUCAAACUUCACCACUGCAUCUCUUUCAAACUCUAUCCCAUUUAUCACUAAAAUUUCCUCUUCCUCUUCUUUCUCUUUCUUGCUUCUUGAUUUCUUUGGCCUACUAACCAUAGUGCGUAUCACUUUAUCCAACUUUAAAGGGAAUGAAUUUGUUGGUGUCAAAUUCUGUGUUUCAGCUGCUUGAGCUACCUGGUCAUGGUGAUGAAAAACCUUAGCCAUUUUCUUGAUUAACCUUCUUGGUGUUGGCCUGGAUUUCAGCCAAGGAAUUUCAACUUCUUGAUAAGCAUAUCUUAGUUUUUUAUGGUCAAUACAGUCCCGAACCUUUACACGAACAAGAUUGGCAUUCUCGUCGUAUAAAAGAAACGCUGCAUCAAGCCAAUCAGGAUCAGUGAACUCAGUUCGCUUACCUCCUAAUGUUUUCCAUAUCGUCCACAUUCGAUCAACGUUGGAGUGAUGAGCGAAAAAUAUUGGAUCUCUUCCAGCUGAGUAGAAAUUUCCCAUGUUUUCUAGAUUUCGCUGGAAAUUAUCCCCAGUCCAGACGUGUAGUGGAUUAUGUGGGAUGUUCUCAAUAGAACCGGCUCCAGGGUCUGGUUCAUCGCCGGCACGGUAGGGACUCCCGAGAAAGAGCUUAGCAGUCUUGCCAUUCGAAAUCAUUUGCCUGUACAUUAUGGUAAGAUUGCUAGAAAUUGUUUCUUGUUCUGGUGUGGGGCCUUCGGUGGCAUUGUAGUCAAGAUCAACUAUUGUUGGCGGCUGGUGAUUCUUGUUGCGAUACUGGUCAUAAAGUGGUGAUUUAGGGUUAGCAUAUAGGGCUGGUAAUUGCAUUCCUUUGGGGGAAUCCCAGUUCCAAUAAGGCAAAGCGAAAGUUGGAUCAUCAAUCAGUUUUCCCAAGAUUUUUUCAUGGAAAUAGAGAUAGUAUCUAUGAAAGGGAAAGAAAAGCCACGAGUUAUGAACUUGAAUUUGUAAGUCUGGAAACCCCACUUGAUCAUAAGCGCCAUUACAAUAAGCACAGUGAACUUUGGCUUGUUGCAUAAAGCUACGAGGGUCAUCUUCAGGGAGGGCUUUCAUGAGCUUAACAGCUUUGGAGUACUUGGCUAUGUAAGCAUCAUCAGCCAAAUGAGCUGCAGGUCUAAUGCGCAAUGGAGACUGUGAAGAAGGAAGCUUAAAGUCUAAUAUCUUUGUGGAUGUUGGAGGGCAACAGUUGGUGGGGGGUUUGGCAUAGUUCGGCAAGUCUGCUUUGCCACAUUUGGUUGGUUCUGGGGUUGAGAUUGGCUUAGCAAAGGCAAACGGGUCACCAAGAGUGGUUGCACCACAGAAUCCUCCUAGACUAAUGAGUACAUCUCUCCUAGUGAUAGGGUUUUGGUGAUCAUCAUUUGUGGCUUUGCAAGAAAUUACCCUGGGAACAUAAGGAUGGUUUCGUUUUUUGGUAAUGGAAAGUUGAGAUGUGUUUGGGAAGGAUAGGCAGAACAAAGAGGAGUUAGAAAUAAUAAAGGGUGUAGCAUUGGUGUAAGGAAAGAAAGAACCCAUGCUUGGUUUAAGCGUUGAUGAUAGCAUUGGUCCAAC